This 2848-nucleotide long non-coding RNA is filed under the name Homo sapiens (human). RNAcentral's name for it is "HSALNT0185281". The stretch from base 2534 to 2643 matches the Rfam family "Y RNA". Lineage: Eukaryota; Metazoa; Chordata; Mammalia; Primates; Hominidae. The record is from RNAcentral.
UCAAAGUCUAGAACAAGAGCUGGGCGUGGUGGCUUGUGCCUGUAAUCCCGGCACUUUGGCAGGCCAAGGUUGGCGGAUUGUUUGAGUUCAGGAGUUCAAGACCAGCCUGGGCAACAUGGUGAAAUCCUGUCUCUACAAAAAAAAUGCAAAAAUUAGCUUGGCAUGGUGGCUCGUACCUGUAGUCUCAGCUACUUGGGAGGCUUAGGUGGGAAGCCUUGAGCCCGGGAGAUGGAGAUUGCAGUAAGCUGAGAUCAUGCCAUGACACUCCAGCCUGGGUGACAGAGCCAGGCCCUGUCUCAAAAACAAAAGUCUAGAACAACAGAGACUAGAAUUGAGGUAUUUCCAUGAGACUAGAGUUUAGAAUACAGACCUAGCAGAGCUCAUCAGAGCAUAGGUAGGACAGAAAUAAGCCAAAAGUGUCCUGGGGUGAUGGCGAGAAACAUAAGCUAGUAUUUGGGCUUUGAGUUUAAAUGCUAUUAGGUACAUGUUUGUGAGUCAUACUGGCUUAUGGGACCAGGGACAGGAGAGACAGCCAGUUAGGCAAGGAAUUACAGCCACUGGGUAAGACCCAGGCUCAGAUGCAAUUUGUUGUUUGAGUAUGACUGUUAACAAGGAGCAAAGCUCCAGUCAGUGUAGAAAAUGGUGGUUUACUUUUAAUUCGCUUUCCUUUUGCAACUUUCAUAUCUAGUCAUUCACUUCUUCAAGUUGAUUCUUCAUAAACUGUUUUAUAGCUGUCAUUCUAAUUCUCACUACCACCUUACUAUCAACAUUCUUCAUGGUGAAAAGAUGAGUAGGGACAAUAAUAUUGACACUCUUUGGGGAAUUUGAGGAAAAAAAAUGCCCAGUAGGUAUAGGAUUAAGAAUAUAAAAUAGAAAGUGAAGAAAGGGGCAGGUAUGAUGGGUUGCAUGCAAGUUAAAAUCUUAUAGAACAUAAACUGAGUAAGCCAGGAAUUCAGCUGACAAGGGAGAUGAGCAGAGGAAACCCUGAGAGAGAAAAGGAGAUAUUCAGAGAGACAGAGGCCGUGUGGUCCCUGAAAAACAGACAGAAAAAGUAGCCAAUCACUACAGCCAUCUCAGUUAUUCAAUGCAACCCAAAUGUAGGUGUUGCUCUGAGGUAUUUUGUAGAUACGUCUAAAGUUCAUAAUCCAUUGAUUUUAGGUGUGGAAGAUGAUUCUAGAUCAUUGGGUGUGCCUGAUUGAAUUAGCUGAAAGAAGUUAAGAACAGAAGCGAGGCUUCCCUGAAGAAGAAAUUCCACCUACGGAAUAUAGCAUUGUUCACGUACUAGAGUUCUAGCCUGCCCUUCUUGACAGCCUCCCCUGCAGAUCUGGGACUUCCCCUGCCAUCCCCCAUAACCACCCAGGCCAAUAUAGCUCCACCUACAGUCCUCUUUCUCCGGUUUAACCCUGACUGUUAAACUCUUUCCUACAGAUUGCUCAACCCUCACAAAAUGUUUUGUAAGUCAUUGUUGGACCACGGACUUGAGCGCUCGAGGCCAUCCUAUCCAGGUUGAUCCCAUUGCUGUGGAAUGUUACAGCACAGGGGUCCCACAGACGUAGCUUUAUGAUCACUGUCCCAGGCUAUUACAUGUGGAAGGACAGUUUUUAGACACUCAGAGAACCAUGCCCUCUCCUCUGCUAGAUUUCAAUUUUACUGAAAUUUUCUUAACUCCUUAAAGCUGUGAAAUAUCCUAUAGGGUAAUAAGAAAAUGCUGGAGAAUAUAGAAUAAUGAAAUUUUAUAUUGCUUCCUAAGUUUAAAAUAGUAUUUCUUUUCUUCAAUUUUAAUUAUUAAAGAUAGCCAAUGCUUCUUUCUCUCAUCUACUCUGUCUUCCUGGAGAUAACCACAGCUAGUAGGUUGGAGUUUCUCUUUAGCCCUUUUGCUAAGCAUAUGUAUAUAUGUAUGGAUAUGUUUGAAAAGAAGGCUAUAUGUGUCUGUGUGUGUUAUCUAUCUACACACACACACACACACACACACGUUAAAACAUAAAUGAGAUCAAGCUAUGCAAAUUAUUUGUCCAGUUUUUUGUUUUUGUUUUUUUUUUGAGACAGGGUGUCACUGUGUCACCCAGGCUGAGUACAGUGGCGCCAUCACAGCUCAUUGCAGCCUCAAUUUCUCAGGCUAAGGUAAUCCUCCUCCAUCAGCCUGAGUAGCUAGGACUACAAGCACAAGUCAGCACACCCGGCUGCUUUUUUUUUUUUUUUUUUUUUUCAAAGACGGAGUCUCACUCUGUUGCCCAGCCUGGAGGUCUGUGGUGAGAUCUUGGCUCACAGCAACCUCCGCCUCUUGGGUUCAAGCAAUUCUCAUGCCUCAGCCUCCUGAGUAGCUGGGAUUAUAGGCACCCAUCACCAAACCUGGCUAAUUUUUGUAUUUUUAGUAGAGACAGAGUUUCACCAUGUUGGCCAGGCUGUUCUUAAACUCCAGACCUCAAGUGAUCCUCCCGCCUCAGCCUCCCAAAGGGCUGAUAUUACAGGCAUGAGUCACUGCAUCUGGCUGACUCUGAUCUUUUAGAUGUUGGCAUUUUAAGAUGAAAAGUUUGGCUGAUCCAAAGGUAGCAAGUUACCUCAAUUGACUGUUCACAGUUGCAGAUGAAACUCCUUGUUCUAUUCUUUCCCUACCUUCCCACUGCUGCACUUGACUAGUCUUUAAAAAGAAGUCCUUAAAAUGGGCCAGGCUUGGUGGCUCACGCCUGUAAUCCCAGCACUUUGGGAGGCUGAAGUGGGAGGAUCACCUAAGGUCAGGAGUUCGAGACCAGCCUGGCCAACAUGGUGAAACCCUCUCUCUACUAAAAAUACAAAAAUUAGCCGGGCAUGCUGGCGGGUGCCGGUAAUCCCAGCUACUAGGGAGGCUGAG